UACUAAUCCAGCUGUGUUUACCUACUAUUUAGGAAUCAGAAUGAAAAUUUGAGGCUUUAGAGCAAGAUGGACCUGGGUUUAAAUUUGAGCUCAGCACCUUACUAAAUCUGUGUGACCUCAAACACAUUGCUUCAUUUCUCUGAGUUCAUCUACCACACAAAGGAAAAGUAACUUCUUACUAUUUGAGGUUGUAUAAAUAUUAAAUAAUUUAUAUAGAGCACAGAGUAUAAUAUCUUAACAUGGUCAGUACUCAAUAUGAUAAGUAGGGAAUUAAUAUGACAGCUAGAUUAAUACUACUGUGAAUAGUACUGCUACUACAACUACAUCUAGUAUGGAUGGGUACCUCUUCUAUCACCUCAAAAGAAAAUUAAUCUGAACACAUCAAAAGGAAAGACUGUUGCUACUCAGCUAGUUUGAGUUUCUAUUCACUGCCUUCUUCCAGCCGCUAGACUGGAUUCUUUAUAUAUGCUACAUAAUUUCUUCCAGUUUUCCUAUGAGAUUUAGGAACAUCCUGAACUUGGAAAUGGAUACUCCUUUGGGAUGCCCCUAUAUCAGCUUUAGCUGAGACCACCAGAUUUGUCUGCAUGGGAAACACUACUGUUACUCUGAUAGGCAUCAAGUUGGAUCCCUGAAGCUUCUCCAAGAUGUUUUCAAGCCACUAGGAAGUGUUUUUGCCAUCACCACAAAGAGGAGGAUGUGAGUAGACCAAGAUGCCCUGGGAUGUAAGGAAGGAGAGGCUGUCCUGUCAGGGAGGUCUAUUGUGAAAUGAAACUAAAGUAUGAUACUUUAGCUAGUUGUGAAUUAAAUGGCGUUUAUGAUCUAGCCUGAGCCCCAUUCAAAAUUCGUCAUAUUAUUUUAUAGGAAACAUAUUAAGUAAACUUUUGGUUGGAGAUAAAUUACAAUAUUUUUUUCUUUCUUUUUUUUAACAAGUGGCUGCACCUGUGGCAUAUGGAAGUUCCUGACCAGGAGUCGAGCCACAGCCAUUGUAGAAGCAACACCGAGUAGU
RNAcentral lists this long non-coding RNA (1006 nucleotides) under Sus scrofa (pig). RNAcentral describes it as "lncRNA (ENSSSCG00060033742.1)". Lineage: Eukaryota; Metazoa; Chordata; Mammalia; Artiodactyla; Suidae. The record is from RNAcentral.